UUAAUUGAAGCCAAAAUAGAGGCGUGUUAUUGUUAAUAUCAUCAUUGGGUUUCCCCUUUUAAAGAAG
Molecule: transfer RNA, 67 nt
Filed under: Takobia yixiani
Lineage: Eukaryota; Metazoa; Arthropoda; Insecta; Ephemeroptera; Baetidae
Description: tRNA-Asn
Source: RNAcentral